RNAcentral lists this transfer RNA (75 nucleotides) under Paracoccaceae bacterium. Its description in RNAcentral is "Rhodobacteraceae bacterium tRNA-Glu". It matches the Rfam family "tRNA". From Rfam's summary of the family: Transfer RNA (tRNA) molecules are approximately 80 nucleotides in length. Lineage: Bacteria; Pseudomonadati; Pseudomonadota; Alphaproteobacteria; Rhodobacterales; Paracoccaceae. The record is from RNAcentral.
GGUCCCAUCGUCUAUCGGUUAGGAUAUCAGGUUUUCAACCUGGAGAGAGGGGUUCGAUUCCCCUUGGGACUGCCA